Molecule: small RNA, 630 nt
Filed under: Pan troglodytes (chimpanzee)
Lineage: Eukaryota; Metazoa; Chordata; Mammalia; Primates; Hominidae
Description: retained intron
Source: RNAcentral
UUUGGUCAAAGUGCUAUUUUCAGUGUCGGUUUAACAGCUAUAAUGGUGCUCGCCAGUCAGGGAAUUGUGGCAGGUACCCUUACUGUUGGAGAUCUAGUAAUGGUGAAUGGACUGCUUUUUCAGCUUUCAUUACCCCUGAACUUUCUGGGAACUGUAUAUAGAGAGACUAGACAAGCACUCAUAGAUAUGAACACCUUGUUUACUCUACUCAAGGUAGACACCCGAAUUAAAGACAAAGUGAUGGCAUCUCCCCUUCAGAUCACACCACAGACAGCUACCGUGGCCUUUGAUAAUGUGCAUUUUGAAUACAUUGAGGGCCAGAAAGUCCUUAGUGGAAUAUCCUUUGAAGUCCCUGCAGGAAAGAAAGUGGCCAUUGUAGGAGGUAGUGGGUCAGGGUGGGUAAUUUAGUUAUUUGUAAAAUUCUGUAUUAUAGGCUGAUGAUUCCCAAUGUAAUAUUUCUCUCUUUAUCAAAAUGAUUACUGUGGUUUAAAACUGGGGUUUCCUAACAUUAAUAGGAGCUAAAUAACCUUUCUUCAUCUCCAAUUUCAGGAAAAGCACAAUAGUGAGGCUAUUGUUUCGCUUCUAUGAGCCUCAAAAGGGUAGCAUUUAUCUUGCUGGUCAAAAUAUACA